GGGUUCAAGUCCCUCUAUCCCCAAAA
This 26-nucleotide transfer RNA is filed under the name Brunnera macrophylla. RNAcentral describes it as "partial tRNA-Leu". The record is from RNAcentral. Lineage: Eukaryota; Viridiplantae; Streptophyta; Magnoliopsida; Boraginales; Boraginaceae. RNAcentral also lists the same sequence under 2 other names.